UGGUGGUGGCGCUGGUGAUUUUUUCGCGCCAGGAAAAGGGGGAAAACAGGAAUAGAAGAAACGCCGUUGCUUCCAAUUUUCGGUUUCUAAUGCGGGAUCUGCUUGUUUCUCUCACAGCAAGACACAAAACUUGCUUGCGCCUGGGUUUGUGUGGCCCUUGCUGAGCUUUCUGCCUCUCUCACACCCUUUUGUGUAUACGUGCGUGCUGAGAUGACCCUUUCACCCUGACACGCGGCUCACAAUACCGAGCGCGGUGAAAAAAAAGCGAUGAUUUUCUUUUUUUCAAAUGGCCCUUCCCGGCACGAUGCGUGCCGCUGCGGACUUCCGCGACGCGAACAACCCGCUUAAGUUACGGAUGACUGCAAGCAUGCAGUGGACAUCGCUGUUGACCUUGGCAAUGCACUUAGCGACAAGGGUGUCGAUUGGCGUCUGCUAGCUCUCCGAGGCCCUUUUCAAGCGCAAGAAGGCCCUCUAGGGAGACUGGCUCGCCUGUAGUCGCAGUGACGCUUUUUUGAGGAGCUGCAAGGACUCGAUAAAUUGCGUAAAGCGCAUGGCUUGCUCAUGAAGGCGCUGAACAUGGAUGGUGCGGGAACGAUGACGCCGAGGGACUCUCAGCUCAUGUACGACACCUGGGUUUACCCCUGCCCCUACCCGAAAGCAGAGCAUGCUGAACAAGUGGCUGCGACUUAUCGGACAGUGCGGUUGCUGCUUCGUGGUGGGCCCCGGCGCAGGGGCCCUGGCGAACAAUGCCUGCCCCCACAAGUGCCGGAUCACCGGCGCCGGUUUCACCAUGUACACGGGUGUGCGGUAUCUGGUGCAGCAGAACUUUGUGAACCAGAAGGUGCAGGGAGGACACCUUCCGCGAUACAGUGUGUCAGCUGGCGGACCUAAACAGGGCCAGAUGAGGUCAACAGGGAGGGCGUCAGCGCCCUCGUGUAAGCAAAAAGAAAACAAAAAACUGCAUGCGCUUCAUCGAAACGAAGCUCGGCCCCGGAAGACUAGCGCCAGGGACGGGGGGGGGAUGGGCUGCCGGCUACACCUCACUCGCGCUGGGCUUCGCGCGCGGCAUUUGUGUGGUUGAAGGUACCGCACCUGUAGCCUCCCGACCUUCCGUUGCUCUACUAGCUGGGCGGGCGGUCAGCUAUUUGUCUUCAUGCUUUCCCCCGUCUCUUAUCGUUUUAUGGGUGUGCUCCCUUUUUUUUCGUGUUGCUUUUUCCCCGCACUGCAUCCCUCGUGCCUUAUCAACGAACACGCCCACUUGUUGUUAUGGUGUUCCAUUUCGUUGCUGUUGCCCCGCGGACACCUGCGGCACCCCGGCAGAGCCUCUACCUUUCCCUGCGGCUUCCCGCUCACGCGCCCACAUGCAAGGGAGCGGGGGAAAGGGGGAGGGGCGAGGUCUGUGACUGGGGUGGCCACAGGGUCCGUCAGCGCGAUGCGCCUUAAUAGGCGUGCCGCCUCGCUUAGAGAUCAGUGGUGGGCCUGGGUGAUUGAGGCAUCUCAAGAACUCACACGAUGAAGUAAGCGGCAUGCAACAGCGGCACCUGAGGCUUUCUAUCCUGCCUUGGAGCUUCGCUUACCUCUGUGUUUUCUUUCUGUUUGUUUUCACGGCGCACCUCACCGGGCCCUCUCCCCACCAGCUCCUUUCUUCUUUGGUUUCGUUCGUCGCACCCUCUGCUCCGCCAUCAAGAAACUCCAACGUCAUGCGCUGCCGUGUGGUGGGAGUUCGAGAACAGGGCACCUCUCAGCCUCCCGCUCGGUUUAUUUGCCAAAGAUGUAAAGCCGUGCUGGGCAGGAGAGUGGGCGUUACCUGCUUCUCUCUCGUUAGGGGCGUCGCUUUCCGACGCGGUAUUGUUUCCGUCCUUUGCCGUUGUUCAACGUUAUUCUUCUCGACACUUCCUCCACCACCCCCUUCCUCAG
This 1917-nucleotide unclassified non-coding RNA is filed under the name Leishmania donovani. RNAcentral's name for it is "gene:unknown". The record is from RNAcentral. Lineage: Eukaryota; Euglenozoa; Kinetoplastea; Trypanosomatida; Trypanosomatidae.